Molecule: ribosomal RNA, 292 nt
Filed under: uncultured bacterium
Lineage: Bacteria
Description: partial 16S ribosomal RNA
Rfam family: Bacterial small subunit ribosomal RNA
Source: RNAcentral
GUGUCAGCAGCCGCGGUAAUACGGAGGGUGCGAGCGUUGUCCGGAAUCACUGGGCGUAAAGGGCGCGUAGGCGGCGGGGUAAGCGUGCGGUGAAAGCUCGGGGCUCAACCCCGAGUCGGCCGUGCGAACUGCUUCGCUCGAGCACUGUAGAGGCAGGUGGAAUUCCGGGUGUAGCGGUGGAAUGCGUAGAGAUCCGGAAGAACACCAGUGGCGAAGGCGGCCUGCUGGGCAGUGGCUGACGCUGAGGCGCGACAGCGUGGGGAGCAAACAGGAUUAGAUACCCCAGUAGUCC